Molecule: long non-coding RNA, 309 nt
Filed under: Linum usitatissimum (flax)
Lineage: Eukaryota; Viridiplantae; Streptophyta; Magnoliopsida; Malpighiales; Linaceae
Description: long non-coding RNA (LUSI_LNC006089)
Source: RNAcentral
UCCAGAGUGAGUUACUUAAUAUCAUCCAUAAUGAACAGGAAGCACAUUAUUCUGACUGAGUAUUACUCGCAAUGCAUACUGCAAUUGUUCAUGUACUUAACAGCUAUUAAAAGUAUCCAUAAACCAACAACCGUAAAAGUUCAUCCACGACACCCUAUUUUCCAAACCUGCAAGUUUUCAUGGGAAUGAAUCCUACUGUAGUCUUUUCUUGGGAGAAUUGCAGAGCACACAUACACUAAUAAUGACUUAGGAUGAACCUGUGCCUGUCCAUGUGCAACUCCUGGACAAGAAAGAACCUGUGCAUUUCCA